Nicotiana attenuata is the source of this 1411-nucleotide long non-coding RNA. RefSeq lists it as uncharacterized. The transcript has 3 exons. NCBI's taxonomy places the organism in Eukaryota, Viridiplantae, Streptophyta, Magnoliopsida, Solanales, Solanaceae. The record is from RefSeq and is a predicted model, not a curated record.
UUUUGGCCAAAAGUGCUUUUGGCAAAAAAAAAAAAGCACUUUUGGCCAAAAAGAAGCUUGGCCAAACAUGCUAUUAAUUAGGUUUUCUAAAUGACUUCCUCUGUAUUUUCUCUUUCUUGCUGGUUGUUCAUUCUCUGAGUUGCAAAAUGUUGAGUCCUUUAUCUUGUAGUAUUGCAGGUAAAUGCAAUUAUUACUUAAUAAUUCUUGAAGUAUUGCAGGAAACUCUUAUUUUUUUCUGAAUGUUGUUAAUGGUGCUCUUGAGGCGUGUUUAAGACCUAAAGCUAGUUGCAGCGCAGGUGUGUGCUGGCUUUAGUGGAGUUUUAGUACAGGCAUCAUGAUGCUCAAGCGUGUGUCUUAUCAUUGGCUCAAACUUGAGGGUGUAACACUGAAUAUUCAAUGUGACUGGCAAAAUGAUUUAAUAAUUGUUUAGGAAAUCUUAAGAAUACGUCAGUGAUUAAGAACAGGAUGUUAAAAACUUUCUAUGAAAAACCUCUUUUUAAACAAGUUAUAAGAAAAGUAGUCAGUGAAUUUGAAAACAAAAUAAAAAAUGGCAUUUACAUCUGUAUUAUAAAUAUAAAGUACUCUUUGCACUUGGGGAAGGUGGAGUUGGAAAAUCCACCAGAAGCACUCACUUAAGGAUUCAUGCCUGCAUCAUCUGGACAAUUUGGAAGGACAGACAUCAGCACUGCUUUGAUGGGAUUCAACUCGCUACCACAAAUUAAAAGCUAGAUGUUUGACUAACAUUUCUGCUUGAUGUAUUCUGAGUAAGCUGCAGUGAAGGCCUUUUGUUUUCUGCAUCAUGGGGACUUGGAGAAACAUGCUGAUAGACGUUGGUGGAUGAUGGCAACGACAUUCUUUAAGGUGAUUAUACACAGCAUAAUCUAGCAAUCAUAUAUGCUAGUUUUUAUCAUGCAUAAAUGCAAGAGGUUAUCGGAGAGGAAAAAAAGAUGACAGUUCAAAUGUGUGUGAUCUCCCCUGCUAUUCUGGCUAUUCAGAGCCUCCCUGUAAAACGCACAAAACAUGACUGGAUUAAUACAGGGCCAAUGAUGUUCUAAAUGCUAGUAACAUGGCCAUUAAGAAGAUCUGGUUGAUGAUCCCUGCAGUUAUUUUUUGGUGUUUGUGGAAUGAAAGGAAUAGUAGAUGGUUUGAUGGGAUCUCAACUCAAAUCACUCUCUCAAAGCUAGAUGCCUGCUCAAUCUUUUUUGUUAGACUAAGAUAGCUACUGCAAUUAGUUCUGAUCAACUUUUGGACUGUUAGUUCCCUUGUCUUAGAUUGACAUACUGUAAAGGGACUAGUUUUUUCUUUUAUUUUCGCAUCUGAUCUUUUGUAACUAUGCAUCUUCUUGAUGCUUUUGAUAAUAACAUCUUACUUGAUAAAAAAAAAAAAAAGCUGUCGGUUUUAAUCUAUGGCC